GUGGAUUAGUGGCGAACGGGUGAGUAACACGUGGGCAAUCUGCCCUUCACUCUGGGACAAGCCCCUGGAAACGGGGUCUAAUACCGGAUAAUACUUUCUCCUGCAUGGGGGAGGGUUGAAAGCUCCGGCGGUGAAGGAUGAGCCCGCGGCCUAUCAGCUUGUUGGUGGGGUGAUGGCCUACCAAGGCGACGACGGGUAGCCGGCCUGAGAGGGCGACCGGCCACACUGGGACUGAGACACGGCCCAGACUCCUACGGGAGGCAGCAGUGGGGAAUAUUGCACAAUGGGCGGAAGCCUGAUGCAGCGACGCCGCGUGAGGGAUGACGGCCUUCGGGUUGUAAACCUCUUUCAGCAGGGAAGAAGCGUGAGUGACGGUACCUGCAGAAGAAGCGCCGGCUAACUACGUGCCAGCAGCCGCGGUAAUACGUAGGGCGCAAGCGUUGUCCGGAAUUAUUGGGCGUAAAGAGCUCGUAGGCGGCUUGUCGCGUCGGAUGUGAAAGCCCGGGGCUUAACCCCGGGUCUGCAUUCGAUACGGGCAGGCUAGAGUGUGGUAGGGGAGAUCGGAAUUCCUGGUGUAGCGGUGAAAUGCGCAGAUAUCAGGAGGAACACCGGUGGCGAAGGCGGAUCUCUGGGCCAUUACUGACGCUGAGGAGCGAAAGCGUGGGGAGCG
Molecule: ribosomal RNA, 670 nt
Filed under: Streptomyces sp. 344(2010)
Lineage: Bacteria; Bacillati; Actinomycetota; Actinomycetes; Kitasatosporales; Streptomycetaceae
Description: bacterial SSU rRNA
Rfam family: Bacterial small subunit ribosomal RNA
Source: RNAcentral